GAUGAAGAACGCAGCGAAAUGCGAUAAGUAAUGUGAAUUGCAGAAUUCAGUGAAUCAUCGAAUCUUUGAACGCACAUAGCGCCCGCCAGUAUUCUGGCGGGCAUGCCUGUUCGAGCGUCAUUACAACCCUCAGGCCCCCGGGCCUGGCGUUGGGGAUCGGCGGAGCCCCCCGUGGGCACACGCCGUCCCCCAAAUACAGUGGCGGUCCCGCCGCAGCUUCCAUCGCGUAGUAGCUAACACCUCGCGACUGGAGAGCGGCGCGGCCACGCCGUAAAACACCCAACUCUUCUGAAGUUGACCUCGAAUCAGGUAGGAAUACCCGCUGAACUUAAGCAUAUCAAAAGCGGAGGA
This 351-nucleotide unclassified non-coding RNA is filed under the name soil metagenome. Its description in RNAcentral is "partial contains 5.8S ribosomal RNA, internal transcribed spacer 2, and large subunit ribosomal RNA". The stretch from base 1 to 120 matches the Rfam family "5.8S ribosomal RNA", at positions 35 to 154 of the family's 154-position model. The record is from RNAcentral.